GGAUUGCGAAUGGGCGAAAGCCUGACGCAGCAACGCCGCGUGGAGGAAGACGGCCUUCGGGUUGUAAACUCGUUUUGCGUCUGACAAGGAAGGAUGGUAGGACGCGAAGAAGUCACGGCUAACUACGUGCCAGCAGCCGCGGUAAAACGUAGGUGGCAAGCGUUAUCCGGAUUUACUGGGCGUAAAGGGUGUGCAGGCGGGGCGACAAGUGGUGUAUGAAAUUCUCCGGCUCAACCGGGGACGGUUAUGCCAGACUGUCGUUCUGGAGUGCGAGAGAGGGGCAUGGAAUUCCGGGUGUAGUGGUGAAAUGCGUAGAGAUCCGGAGGAACCCCAGAGGCGAAGGCGGUGCCCUGGCUCGCAACUGACGCUCAUACACGACAGCAUGGGGAGCGAACGGGAUUAGAAACCCCGGUAGUCCAUGCCGUAAACGAUGCAAACUAGGCGCUGGCGGUCUCAACCCCGCCGGUGCCGCAGCUAACGCGCUAAGUUUGCCGCCUGGGGAGUACGGCCGCAAGGCUAAAACUCAAAAAAAUUGACGGA
Molecule: ribosomal RNA, 540 nt
Filed under: uncultured bacterium
Lineage: Bacteria
Description: bacterial SSU rRNA
Rfam family: Bacterial small subunit ribosomal RNA
Source: RNAcentral